CUCGGGAGGGGCGGGAGGGGGGUCCCCGGUGCCCGGACCUCGAGGGUGCUGGCCGUUCGGUCCGAGCCUGGGUCUCACUCUUCCGCACACUCCCUC
This is a microRNA precursor of Ochotona princeps (American pika), 96 nucleotides long. Lineage: Eukaryota; Metazoa; Chordata; Mammalia; Lagomorpha; Ochotonidae. The record is from Ensembl.